UGGGGAAUAUUGCACAAUGGGGGAAACCCUGAUGCAGCGACGCCGCGUGAGUGAAGAAGUAUUUCGGUAUGUAAAGCUCUAUCAGCAGAGAAGAUAAUGACGGUACCUGACUAAGAAGCCCCGGCUAACUACGUGCCAGCAGCCGCGGUAAUACGUAGGGGGCAAGCGUUAUCCGGAUUUACUGGGUGUAAAGGGUGCGUAGGUGGCAGGGCAAGUCAGAUGUGAAAGCCCGGGGCUCAACCCCGGUACUGCAUUGGAAACUGUAUGACUGGAGUGCAGGAGAGGUAAGUGGAAUUCCUAGUGUAGCGGUGAAAUGCGUAGAUAUUAGGAGGAACACCAGUGGCGAAGGCGGCUUACUGGACUGUAACUGACGUUGAGGCUCGAAAGCGUGGGGAGCAAACAGG
This 404-nucleotide ribosomal RNA is filed under the name uncultured bacterium. Its description in RNAcentral is "bacterial SSU rRNA". It matches the Rfam family "Bacterial small subunit ribosomal RNA", at positions 355 to 776 of the family's 1533-position model. The record is from RNAcentral.